AAGCUGGGCUUGAGGGUUGAAAUGACGCUCGAACAGGCAUCCCCGCCAGAAUACUGGCGGGCGCAAUGUGCGUUCAAAGAUUCGAUGAUUCCACUGAAAUCAUGCAAAUCCCCAUACCUUAUCGCAUUUUGCUGCGUUUUUCCACGGACACCAGAACCAAGAGAUCAUUU
This 170-nucleotide ribosomal RNA is filed under the name Fusarium sacchari. Its description in RNAcentral is "5.8S ribosomal RNA". Lineage: Eukaryota; Fungi; Ascomycota; Sordariomycetes; Hypocreales; Nectriaceae. The record is from RNAcentral.